Molecule: long non-coding RNA, 453 nt
Organism: Chenopodium quinoa (quinoa)
Lineage: Eukaryota; Viridiplantae; Streptophyta; Magnoliopsida; Caryophyllales; Amaranthaceae
Exons: 3
Source: RefSeq, a predicted model, not a curated record
GCUUUAGAGAACAUACACAACACACAAGAAUGACAAUGAAAAAAUUUUAAAUUUUUUUAUUGAUGAUAAUAUUAUAUAUAUUUUUUUUUUUUACCUAAUUUCAGGAAAGUCAAGACAGUGGAGGUUAGUACAUCUUCCUUUCUUGUUUAAUUUAAUUUACUUCUCUAAUCUUUUAAUCGAUUAAAUCUUGAAUUAACUUAAUUAUAUUCUGAUGUCAUGAAAUAGGAUUUGGGACAAAAAUUAAUUGAGAAAAAAAAGAAACUAACUGAUCUCAAACUGAAGAAGAGUUACUGGGAGAAUACAAAAGUUGUGACUAGCAUUGAAAAAAUUGCAGAGAUGGAACAAAGUUUACAGAAAACCCUUCAAGACAUUCGCCAACACAAGAAAGAAUUAUAUGAGCAACAUUUGAUGAUAUCUCAAACUGCUGCUGAGCCCUUUGAAUUCAAGUGUGAC